Molecule: long non-coding RNA, 941 nt
Organism: Acromyrmex echinatior (Panamanian leafcutter ant)
Lineage: Eukaryota; Metazoa; Arthropoda; Insecta; Hymenoptera; Formicidae
Source: RefSeq, a predicted model, not a curated record
GAUAAAUAUGGAAGGUAAAUGGAAAACCAUGUUAAACAAAAGUUGUUUGGUCUAAAGAAGGAUAAAUAAUGGCAAAAUGAAAUUUUCAAAAAAAAAAGAUUUUAUGAUCAUAUGAUAGUUAUGAUUGUUUUUUUUAAAUGGCAUUACAAAAUCAUUAACGCACGUGCGUCCCGAAACAAGGAGUUUUUUAAUCUCUGUCACAUACAUACGAGGACAACAAAGUAACAAUUGUAUAGUACCAGAGAGUUAUACAAUGUUAUCUAACACUCUGGUUUAUCUUAAACGGUCAAUAACCCAUGAUACCCCUUGACUCGUAAUGGACGGAUCUCUCAUAUACACAUAAUGAGAUAAAGUUAAUACUCGUUAGUUUAUGUCGAUUCUUAAUCCUUUGGUGCGUCCCUUGUUUUUUGAAUGAUACGCUCGACAUGCAUAUGAGUGCGUGUCCCUUGGACAAUAUAUCAGGACAAAGUUCGACAAUUAGAGAGGAGAACCAAGGCGCCCGGACGAUUCGGCGCCGUGCCGGAGAACACACCCUAAACGCUGCAGAGACCGGCGAGACCGGCAGGCGGCAUACGGACAAGAGGUCAGAGCCCCCGGACCCCGAUGGCCGCGUCCUCGUGGUUAGCGAGUAAGAAUGAGCGCUGUGGAGGAAGAAGUUGCUGUGAGCCUGCAUCAGACGGCUGACAACGGCAGUGGUGCACGUCGGGGACCCAUCGCCUCCGUGGCUCUCAACUUGGAGUCGCUAAUCGUGGAGUGCGAAAGAAACGCAACCUGAAAGGAGGUUUGAAGGGACUCGAUCCUUUCGCAGCUAUUCCCUUUAUGUGAAAGAUUGACAUGAGUUUAUUGUACAAGUUGAAUUGAACAACAUAAAAUAAACAUGAAACUUCUUCGAGUCAUCUUCAGAUAUUCGAAUAAAUGCAGUAGUGAAAUAAGAGAUGAAC